GCAGGAGAAGGUGUUUUUAGGAUCCUUGAGGGGGGUGAGUUUUACACAACUCAAUCUUUGGAUUGGGGGCGUGGGGUCCAUUCUCGGACGUUCCCUGUUUGGUACUUGUUGCGAGUACACAGUUGAGGAGUAUAGGAGUUGGAGGUGAUACCUAUUAUGGGUGCCGUUGAGGACCACGUUGUGGAGACGCUUUUGCGAAUUAGGAGCUUGCCCCGGCUUGAAACCGAGUGGGUUGUCAUGCUUCACAGGAAUAUGUUAAAGGUGCA
This 266-nucleotide long non-coding RNA is filed under the name Setaria viridis. RNAcentral's name for it is "long non-coding RNA (SVIR_LNC000730)". The record is from RNAcentral. Lineage: Eukaryota; Viridiplantae; Streptophyta; Magnoliopsida; Poales; Poaceae.